Molecule: ribosomal RNA, 459 nt
Filed under: uncultured bacterium
Lineage: Bacteria
Description: partial 16S ribosomal RNA
Rfam family: Bacterial small subunit ribosomal RNA
Source: RNAcentral
CCUACGGGUGGCUGCAGUGAGGAAUAUUGGUCAAUGGACGGAAGUCUGAACCAGCCAUGCCGCGUGCAGGAAGACGGCUCUAUGAGUUGUAAACUGCUUUUGUACAAGGGUAAACCUGAAUACGUGUAUUCGGCUGAAAGUACUGUACGAAUAAGGAUCGGCUAACUCCGUGCCAGCAGCCGCGGUAAUACGGAGGAUCCAAGCGUUAUCCGGAUUUAUUGGGUUUAAGGGUGGGUAGGCGGGUUUGUUAGGUUGAGGGGAAAUUCACCGGCGUAACGCCGGAACUGCCUCUAAUUAUGUUGAACUAGAGAAGAGUUGCGGUAGGCGGAAUGUAUGGUGUAGCGGUGAAAUGCUUAGAGAUCAGACAGAACACCGAUGGCGAAGGCAGCUUACCAAUCUAUAUCUGACGUUGAGGCACGAAAGCGUGGGGAGCAAACAGGAUUAGAUACCCGAGUAGUC